GACGAACGCUGGCGGCGUGCCUAACACAUGCAAGUCGAGCGGGGUCCAUCCGGUAGCAAUACCGGGGAAGACCUAGCGGCGAACGGGUGAGUAACACGUGAGAAACCUGCCCCGAAGUCUGGGAUAACCCGAGGAAACUCGAGCUAAUACCGGAUGUCUUCUUCUGAUCGCAUGGUCGGAUGAAGAAAGGUUUAUCGCUUCGGGAGGGUCUCGCGGCCUAUCAGCUAGUUGGCGGGUAACGGCCCACCAAGGCGCCGACGGGUAGCUGGUCUGAGAGGACGAUCAGCCACACUGGGACUGAGACACGGCCCAGACUCCUACGGGAGGCAGCAGUGGGGAAUAUUGCGCAAUGGGCGAAAGCCUGACGCAGCAACGCCGCGUGCGGGAUGAAGGCC
Molecule: ribosomal RNA, 395 nt
Filed under: uncultured bacterium
Lineage: Bacteria
Description: bacterial SSU rRNA
Rfam family: Bacterial small subunit ribosomal RNA
Source: RNAcentral